Molecule: transfer RNA, 66 nt
Filed under: Pampus echinogaster
Lineage: Eukaryota; Metazoa; Chordata; Actinopteri; Scombriformes; Stromateidae
Also listed under: 2 other names
Description: tRNA-Cys
Source: RNAcentral
AGCCUCGAGGUGUCUGACAUAUAAGAAUGCAAAUCUUAAGUAGCAGAUUAGCGUCUGCCGGGGCUU